AAGAAAUUAGUUAAAUAAUAAUAAAAGUUUGUCAAACUUUAGUUGCUAGAAAAUAGUAUUUCUUG
RNAcentral lists this transfer RNA (65 nucleotides) under Chaetopleura apiculata. RNAcentral's name for it is "tRNA-Asp". Lineage: Eukaryota; Metazoa; Mollusca; Polyplacophora; Chitonida; Chaetopleuridae. The record is from RNAcentral.